This 761-nucleotide ribosomal RNA is filed under the name Prevotella melaninogenica. Its description in RNAcentral is "bacterial SSU rRNA". It matches the Rfam family "Bacterial small subunit ribosomal RNA", at positions 28 to 776 of the family's 1533-position model. Lineage: Bacteria; Pseudomonadati; Bacteroidota; Bacteroidia; Bacteroidales; Prevotellaceae. The record is from RNAcentral.
GAUGAACGCUAGCUACAGGCUUAACACAUGCAAGUCGAGGGGAAACGGCGUUGAGUGCUUGCACUCUUCGGACGUCGACCGGCGCACGGGUGAGUAACGCGUAUCCAACCUUCCCAUAACUAAGGGAUAACCUACCGAAAGGCAGACUAAUACCUUAUGUAAUUCUUAGAUGACAUCAGAAGAGAAUGAAAGAUUUAUCGGUUAUGGAUGGGGAUGCGUCUGAUUAGCUUGUUGGCGGGGUAACAGCCCACCAAGGCAACGAUCAGUAGGGGUUCUGAGAGGAAGGUCCCCCACAUUGGAACUGAGACACGGUCCAAACUCCUACGGGAGGCAGCAGUGAGGAAUAUUGGUCAAUGGGCGAGAGCCUGAACCAGCCAAGUAGCGUGCAGGAUGACGGCCCUAUGGGUUGUAAACUGCUUUUGUAUGGGGAUAAAGUCAAUCACGUGUGAUUGUUUGCAGGUACCAUACGAAUAAGGACCGGCUAAUUCCGUGCCAGCAGCCGCGGUAAUACGGAAGGUUCGGGCGUUAUCCGGAUUUAUUGGGUUUAAAGGGAGCGUAGGCCGGAGAUUAAGUGUGUUGUGAAAUGUAGACGCUCAACGUCUGACUUGCAGCGCAUACUGGUUUCCUUGAGUACGCACAACGUUGGCGGAAUUCGUCGUGUAGCGGUGAAAUGCUUAGAUAUGACGAAGAACUCCGAUUGCGAAGGCAGCUGACGGGAGCGCCACUGACGCUUAAGCUCGAAGGUGCGGGUAUCGAACAGG